This 207-nucleotide ribosomal RNA is filed under the name uncultured bacterium. Its description in RNAcentral is "partial 16S ribosomal RNA". It matches the Rfam family "Bacterial small subunit ribosomal RNA", at positions 568 to 774 of the family's 1533-position model. The record is from RNAcentral.
CGCGUAGGCGGUUUCGUGUGUCUGCUGUGAAAGCGCACGGCUUAACCGUGAAGGGUCGGUGGAAACUGCGAGACUUGAGGCUGGGAGGGGCCGGUGGAAUUCCCCGUGUAGCGGUGAAAUGCGUAGAUACGGGGGAGAACACUCGUGGCGAAGGCGGCCGGCUAGACCAGUCCUGACGCUGAGGCGCGACAGCGUGGGGAGCAAACA